CGGUUCCGAGCGCCCUGCCAUCCGUAGCUAUACCGGACAGCAUGCUGCCUGAGUUCGGGAAACAGUUUUCUGAUCUGUCCGCAAUUUUCUCCUAUUCCUCGUCAGGCAGCUCAACAACCUACGACUCACCUCAGCGCUCCUCAAAACCUUGGGCAAGGCAUUAGAGCGGGAGAGCAGGAUUUGAGGCAGGAGAGACAGGACCGAGUUAUUCCGUUGGAGUCCCCCGAAACAGCGAACAAGCACUUUUCAAGGAAUCUGGCUGAUCCCCUAAUCAUGACGGCUUGCGUUCAGAUUGUUUUGGGGACGAUAAAAACUUGCCUUCCAUGCUUGGAAUACCAGAGGUCCCUCCUACCCUACUGGGCCUACCCUUCCCUGAAUAAAGAAUGCAUCUCCCGGAGCAGCUCGGAGAGAGAUGGUUAGGAGCCACAGCUCCUCCCAACACUGACGCCCUCAUACCUCUCAUUUUACAUGCAUGUGCUGCAGUCCUGUUGUGAAAUGUAAUAGACGCCACACUAACAGGUCAGCAGCUGCUAGAUUAUCUUUGAUCACAGAGUUGGUGCCAAUCAAUGAUUGAUUAAAUUAACCAUUUGAAACAAAAA
Molecule: long non-coding RNA, 599 nt
Organism: Oncorhynchus gorbuscha (pink salmon)
Lineage: Eukaryota; Metazoa; Chordata; Actinopteri; Salmoniformes; Salmonidae
Exons: 3
Source: RefSeq, a predicted model, not a curated record